GGGGAGGAAGUCCCUCCCCCCAUGCAACAGCGUAACAUAGCGGGACGCGCCGGCGGAGUUCUGGAACCAGGAAGUCCGAAAUGAAGGUGUCAGCAGGAUUAUGCUUCCUCUGAAACUCUGGGAUGAAUGAAAAUGAUAUCAGAGAAAACCUCAGACCGUCAUGAAUGAAUAAAGAGGACAAACAAAAACCAGAACAGUUCCAGUGGCUACCAGAGAAGAGGUGGAUGGAAGGAUGGGUGAAAUAGAUAAAUGCAAUUAAGAGUACUCACCUUGACGAGCCCUGAGAAAGGCACAGAAUCGUCAGAUCAUCAUGUUGUACGCCUGAAACUAAUAUAACAUUGUGGGAUGUCUGGAGAAGACAGGUCUCCACUGAUGACCGGCAGAAGGAACUGGCACCCCCCCCCCCCCCCCCCCGCGCAAACAGGCUGUUGUCCGCUGCUGGACACUGGUGCGGGGCCCACGUGGGCGUGUGCUGUGGCCAUGGGGAGAUCAUCCGCCUCGAAGGCCAUGCUCGUCAAACUCAAGAUCCACUUUACUCUGGCAGACCCAAAGCACCCAGAAGCAAACUAGCCUGCCAACUUGGUGUCAGUGGACCUGAACUUGACUGUGGAUAGGUGUGACCUCAGGCCAUCCUGAGUGGGCACGGCGGCUUCAGAAAUGGUCAUUAAACUAUGUUGCAAAGCUGGAUUCGGGGUUCACUGCCCCUUCUAUUCGGUGUCUAUUUCUCUACCCGAAGCCUGCUGUAGGCUC
Lynx canadensis (Canada lynx) is the source of this 750-nucleotide long non-coding RNA. RefSeq lists it as uncharacterized. The record is from RefSeq and is a predicted model, not a curated record. NCBI's taxonomy places the organism in Eukaryota, Metazoa, Chordata, Mammalia, Carnivora, Felidae. The transcript has 7 exons.